RNAcentral lists this long non-coding RNA (2108 nucleotides) under Equus caballus (horse). Its description in RNAcentral is "lncRNA (ENSECAG00000054842.1)". Lineage: Eukaryota; Metazoa; Chordata; Mammalia; Perissodactyla; Equidae. The record is from RNAcentral.
AGGAGGCUGCACCAGAUUGUCAGCAGCGGCUGGACCACAGAUUUCACCAUGUCGGAGGGAGCAGUGCCCAAGAUGAACCUGAACCUGGAGAUAUCUCCCUCGCAGCUGAGAAUCUCACUGAGCACCUCCAGCCCUGGGUUGGGGUGGGCUCUGGUCACUGCGGGUGUCCUCGGAGCUGCCUCCUUCUGGCUGUGCUGGGGAUGGGUUCGGGAGUCAUGGUCACCCCCGGCAGGAACAAGUAGGGUCACAGGAAGAUCCCCACCAAGGAGCAAGAUGACCCUCUAGUGCAUGAAGAGUCUGAGUCAUUCUUAUCCUGAUUUCUUAGGAAAAUAAAAUAAUAUCAGAUCCUGAGGUCUUGUCUGAUUCUUAGAGCCUAUGCAAGUCCUUGUUCUGAAGGAAUGGGUCAUCUUGGACAAGCAUCCUCAGGACUCUGGGUCUCAAUUUCCUUGCUUGGGCAAUGGGCUGAAUUGAUUGCUUUUCUCACAUCCCUAAGGAAAGGCUGUGAGGGGAAGUACUUUGAAGCCCGGGCUCCAACAGGUAUGGACUUUUUGGGCUCCUGUCAUGACUGAUAAAGCCUUGAAUGACUGGAAUACUUAUUCCCUUUUCACCCUGUAAUCUAGGGUUUCCUCCCACCUCCCACCUCCUUCCCUUGUUCUGCAACAGAGCCCAGGUGAGCACCUACAGAGCCUUUGCCCUCUUGAGACACCCUUUCAGCUCCAGGACUGGUCUGGUGGGGACUGCAGGACAGCCUCUGCACGAGGUGGCCCCAGGUUCCCAACAACUCCCUGUACCCCUCUGCACUCAUUUACCUCUGCCCACAAAGCUCUUCCUGGGUUCCAGCUGCUACAAUCUGUUCCACAUGUUAUCAGUUCUUGGGCAGCAUUUGAGCAAGCAGAGUGGCAGGGCGUGGGUGGCUGAAUUCAAGGUGAGGGAGCUAGAAUCCUCUACUGGAGGUUCUCUAUUCUUCAAGAGGAGGAGAGACCCCGUUUUAAAGGAGAGCAGGUGGGUAAGAACCCAGGAGGCUAUUUUCAGUUCAGGCACCAUCCUCCCUGGGACCAGCUAAUUGACAAGCUGGUCUCAUUAGGAGAUGGUAAGAAAAAAAGAGAAAAAAAUCCACCUUGACUUUGUCAUUGUAUAAUUCUUUCCAAAGGCAUCCUCAGCCCCAGGCUUUUCUGGGCAUAGAAUUGCAUGUUUAGUUUUGUUAAAAAAAAAAAAAAAGAAACAACGACCAUACACUGUGGAGAGUGGCGCACCAGUCUACAUUCCCUCCAGCAAUGAAUGAAUCCAGUGUUUGCUGUUAUUGCUGCUUCUUAUUUUAUCCAUUCUGAUUUUGGUUUUAAUUUGCAUCUCCCUAAUGGCCAGUGAUGUUGAACAUCUUUUCCUGUCUUUAUUUGCCACCCACAUAUCCCCUUUAAUGCAAUUUCUGUUGAUGUCUUUGUCCAGUUUCCUACAGCAUAGUUUGAUUUUUUAAAAUUGAUGGAUGGUAGUUUUCUUUAGGUGGUCAAGAUACCCGUCCUUUGUCGGGUCUGUGGUUUGCGCUGGUAAACUUUUGAGUCAUGCAUAUCUGCUUUUCUUCCUCUUCUUCGGGGAUAGAUUUUGGACUUGAGCUCGCCUCUGGCCGGGAAAGCCGAAUCUUUGGAGCAGGCUGCCAGGCCCAGGAGACCCCACCCUGAGCCAGCGCAGGGGAGAGUUAGCGCCAUUCCUGUCCUCAUUUCUCGGAAGCAGGCCGAGAAAUAUAAGGUCCUGGGCUGGGACCUCCUCUGACUCUUCCAGCCCUGGGAAGACCAGCUCCAUCCCUGAGAAGCCUGGAUUCUAGUGCAGCGGGAGGAUUGGGUGUCCUGGGGCCGGCCUCCUAGGUCGGGCCUCACUUUCCUUCUAGGGCCCGGAUGAUCAGACCCUCCGUGCAGCUGCGGCGAGGAAAGCUGUGGGGGAACGUGCUCUGUAACCAGAGAGCGCGACGCAAACGUUAAGGCCCUGGUGGCACCACCGGGGAUGUCUCCAUAAACCCCAGUUGGAACGGCUGACGCCGCCCUCAUUGCCGCCCUCAUUGCCAUCUCUACCCCAAUUGCCGGAGAGGAAGGACGGUUGAGUCGGGGUUGCAGCCCGAG